This 253-nucleotide ribosomal RNA is filed under the name uncultured bacterium. RNAcentral describes it as "partial 16S ribosomal RNA". It matches the Rfam family "Bacterial small subunit ribosomal RNA", at positions 524 to 776 of the family's 1533-position model. The record is from RNAcentral.
UACGAAGGGGGCUAGCGUUGCUCGGAAUUACUGGGCGUAAAGCGCACGUAGGCGGCUUUCUAAGUCGGGGGUGAAAUCCUGGAGCUCAACUCCAGAACUGCCUUCGAUACUGGAAAGCUCGAGUCCGGGAGAGGUGAGUGGAACUGCGAGUGUAGAGGUGAAAUUCGUAGAUAUUCGCAGGAACACCAGUGGCGAAGGCGGCUUACUGGUCCAUUACUGACGCUGAGGUGCGAAAGCGUGGGGAGCAAACAGG